UACGUAGGGGGCAAGCGUUGUCCGGAUUUAUUGGGCGUAAAGAGCUCGUAGGCGGUUUGGUAAGUCUGGUGUGAAAUCUCCACGCUCAACGUGGAGGGGCCACCCGAUACUGCCAUGACUGGAGUCCGGUAGAGGAGUGUGGAAUUCCCGGUGUAGCGGUGAAAUGCGCAGAUAUCGGGAGGAACACCCGUAGCGAAGGCGGCACUCUGGGCCGAUACUGACGCUGAGGAGCGAAAGCGUGGGGAGCGAACAGG
This 254-nucleotide ribosomal RNA is filed under the name uncultured bacterium. RNAcentral describes it as "partial 16S ribosomal RNA". It matches the Rfam family "Bacterial small subunit ribosomal RNA", at positions 524 to 776 of the family's 1533-position model. The record is from RNAcentral.